ACAAAAUCAAUUGAAGAAUAACAAACAAUAAUUAAUGCUUAAUCUUAACAAAACAAUAAAAUCAUUUAAAAAUCGUCUCGCAUCAUCAAAACGCUUCCGAAACCGAGCAUACACUCCAACUGUCCCAAAAUGCUUUGUUCACCGUUGUUGCUGCUGUUUGCAAAAUUAGCUUAAAAAUCGAUCAACCGUAAUGUUACCUCCAAAGCGCUCGUCACCGUUCCCUUUCCAAAGCUUACCCCACCCCGACUUACGCGCCCCCUAACACCACUAUCUUGAAAUUGCAUUCCACAACCCUACGACCUACGCCCGUGCGCUCGCCAAUCGCCAAACAAGGCGUACGGCGGGCACUCUGCGGUAUCCUCUAUCGGUAAAGUAGUUUCGGUUUGUUUCAGUGCUCACGUAUGUGUGGUAGUGUUUGUCGAACGACAGCAACAGCAGCAACUACACCCCGUCCCCCGUCCUCCGCCCGUCCUCUGCUGUGUGUGUGUGUCUGUGUGCACGCGCCUAAGAAGCAUCCGAAGAAGCCAUUCAUUUCGCCCGUUUUACCAUGCCCAUCAAGAUGCAUCAAGUUGAGACACGGUUUGAGAGCGAGAGAGCAAACUACAACGAUUGAGAGAGAGAGAGAGAGAGCGCGCGAAACGUAAAAAUCAGUCAAAGAAGAAGAUGAAGAAGAAACCGAAACAAACGAACUUAAAAAUUGCGACUUCGAAUGGUCGCCGUCGCGAUGCAACGGUGCAAUCAAACCAACGGGGCUGGAAACGGGCGGGGAGAGAAAGGAAGGGCAAACAUCGUUCAUCGCACCGUUUCACCCCGAAAGUGCGAAGGCAAGAUUUUACACUUCUUUUUUUUUACAUAAAAUCAACACACCACACCAAGAAAACGGCGUGGUUUUUCUUAGCGCGGUGGCGGUGGCCGAAGUAGGCCGGUGACGUCAGGCUCGUUACUAUGUACAGUUUAAAAAUAUGUAAUGCAAUAAGCCCGCCGCUGGGCAAAUACACUUUCAAAUCGGAUCGGAAUAAAAAGGCACAAAUGUGGUUGACGGUAUACGUGUGUGUGUGUGUGUGUCUUUGAAAUAGAAGGGUACAUGGAAUGGAAAGCAACAAAGAUGACCAACAAAUCUAAUACAGCCGACCGCAUCGCAGCCAUAAAGCAUCGCAUCAAACCCCCCUGUAAUCAGUGCAGCUUCUUCCCGUUUUUUGAACCCUUCACCCAUUACGCCUCUUACGAAUAGAGCGAAUAGAGAGGAAAAGCGGUUGCGCCGCAUCCCGUGACUAUAUUGCUUUGAAUUGCGUUUGAAAAACAAGGAACAAAACAACAGAGAAAAAAAGGUAAGCAAAAGAGACAAAACAAGACACCACAAAAAGGGCACAAAUUUCUCGAACAAACGGUAUUGGAAGUCACGGAAAGUUUCGUUGCGUUCCCCGUGGAGGGAGAGGGAGCGGGAGGGAGGGAAAAUUAUAUGCAGCCAGAGUGAGAGCGAUUAAAAUAAAAUCGACAAGAUAAAAACAACUGCACGUGUUGCGGGCGAAGAAGCGAGAGCGCACGUGCUGUGGGAAGGAAAGAGCAACGACAAGAGUGAGUAAAGUAUGAUACCAAACAAUACAGCAGGAAGAGAAAGAAAAGAAAAAAAAAACAACACAACCCAAGCGACACAACAGAGAGGCGCGAACAUUGCUCGCGAUCUUCGCUAAUCUCUGGCUUUUAGGGCUGAGGGUUUCGUGCGCGCGCGAGAGAGAGAGCACGCGUCGUUGUGGGUGCGGUGAACACGUGCGCGCGAGAGAGAGCGAAUUUACGCUCGUGAGUUAUUGUUGUGGAUGAGGUAACGGGGGGGUGAGAGGGAGGGAAACAAAACCCGGAGAGUAAACAAACAACCUUGCCCUGCGUUGCAACCACUCCACCCCGGUGGCGAUGUGCAACCCUGUUUAUAUGUGCCUCUCUCUCUCUCUCUCUCUCUUACUCACUCAUCUGCCAUUCCGCCGGUUGCUCACCUUGCCGAUAUAGGGGGUGAAGAAAACGGAGUACACCGGAGUGGGAAGAAAAGAGAGCGAAAAAGCAUCUGUAGUAGGCACCGCCGCCGCCGUCGCCGUCGUCAUCAUUGACGACGUAUCGGUAGCGCUAGAGGAGUGUUGGAGGAAGAAGAGAAAAGGGUGAAGCGUCAUCGCAAACGUCAUGUGUGGCGGUGACGGCGGCUGUGUUUGUUUGGCUAUCGUGUGUGUGUUUUUUGCUGCUGGUGGCACACAUAAAACGAGAGCCAAAUCCAAUGAGCGGAAGAAGAGAGAAGGAAAUAAAGGUGUGAAAGAGAUAGGGUGAGACGGUGGGCGCGCGUCGCGUGAGUGCAUAUAAUCUAUCAACAAAAUAAUAGAGUGUAGAGCAAGAAGAGCAAGAAGAAACAAUCAACACAGCGUAGCAAGAAAGCGCGCGCGGUGUGGUUUACAAUAAUCUGGGUGUAAGUGUGUUGGUGUUUGUGCACCGUGUAUGCUCAUUUGGGAAAGGUUAGUCAAGUGAGUGCGCCGUCCAUCGCGGUGUGAGAGACAGAGAGAGAGACAGAGAGAGUGCGAUAUCGGCCCAAAACGGCAACAAAACAAAACGUGUGCGGUUAUGCGUUCCCUACUAGCAAUGAGAAUGUAAAAGUGUGCGUCUUUCAGGCGAGGGGCAUGUAGAAGCCGGGGGAGACGGUUGGAAAUACGCGGAAUUACGCGGCGGCGAGAGCGUGUUUUGCUUUCUACACAGUUUUCGCACUCACACAAUCACACAUGUGUGAAUGUGUGCGUUCACUUUCAGCCAGCGCGCUCAGUUUGGUUUUCUCGCAGCGGCUUGCUGGUGUCGGUGUCUCGCUCGCACUAGUGCAGCGAGUGUUCCUCGUGCGUUCCCUUUCUUGCUACCACACAAAAUCGUCAGUACAGUUCAAGCCUUCGCAGUGUGAGGCCGCGCGCGUUUUAGCCUAAGUCCCGGGCGCUCGAUUAUUCAACAAACACAACAUACAGGCAGUAAGGCGGGUGCUUGAAGUGACGAUUUUUUUUAAAUAUUUAUAAUAAAAAAUAUGUGUGGUUUUGUGGCAAGAUUGUGGUUAGCGAUGUGUGGAACUGUGCCUUAAGUUUCAAUAAAGUGUUAAAAUAUCAAACGAGUUUGAUGUAAUUAAAUUUA
Molecule: long non-coding RNA, 3144 nt
Organism: Anopheles coluzzii
Lineage: Eukaryota; Metazoa; Arthropoda; Insecta; Diptera; Culicidae
Exons: 2
Source: RefSeq, a predicted model, not a curated record